AGAUGCGAGGGUGAUCUGGCUGUGACAUCUGUCACCCCAUUGACGGCCAGGGUUGAUUUGUCUGAUCUGGCUGGCUAGGGGGUGUCUCUUUCCCCCUCACCGCUACAUGUGAGUCUCUCCCGAAGCUGCGUGCUCGGUUGAAGAGGGUGACCUUCCCAGAAUAGGGGAGGAUCUGUCUUUGCUCAGGGGUAUAUGAGUCGCUAGAACCUCCAAAAAAGCUCCCGAGUGCUGGUAUUAAAGGAGUGGGCCACCCCGUCCAGCAAUCCCACUGUUUUUGUGUUUGAACAGGGUGUCACUAAGU
RNAcentral lists this small nuclear RNA (301 nucleotides) under Jaculus jaculus (lesser Egyptian jerboa). RNAcentral describes it as "7SK RNA (ENSJJAG00000004675.1)". It matches the Rfam family "7SK RNA". Rfam says of the family: 7SK was discovered as an abundant small nuclear RNA in the mid-70s but a possible function has only recently been suggested. Two independent studies have found that 7SK RNA binds the CDK9/cyclin T complex (known as elongation factor P-TEFb). The record is from Rfam by way of RNAcentral. Lineage: Eukaryota; Metazoa; Chordata; Mammalia; Rodentia; Dipodidae.